UCUUCGUCGCUCCCUCCGAGGAUUACGGCGGCAUUUGAAACAUAUUUCAGCGCGGCGCGGCGGAGGAGCGAGGGCGGGAUUAAGGUGUUACCGUGGAGGGGUGGUGUUAACGCAGAGGGGCGGGGUGUUAAAAGACGGAGAAGCGGCGAUAUUGGCGGGGGUUAGCGGCGGAGGGCCGGGUGACGCUGCGGGGACGGAGGUACGACGGUGAACUGAGGAAGCUGCUCUCCAAACAGGAAACACCUGCAGCAGCUUCACCUGAGAGCGCUCGACCAGGACUGAACCAAACUGGUGGACGUCCUGACCGGAGUCGGCGUCAUGGACCUGCUGAAUGAGCUCAUCAAUGUCCUGACGAUCAGAAACACACAGAGCUGAUCAGAUCAUUGAUCAGAGAUUAAACUGUCAACAUUAACAUGGUUCUACUGGAUCUGCUGCUUGAUUUCCAUGAUUCUAAAGGUUUUACACUCUCCUGUCCAAUUUCCAUAAUGUUAAAGGUUCUAUAGAAUCUCAUUUCAGUAUUUAAAUCAUGUCAAAAGACCGACAUGAUCUCCUGUUCUUCUCCGAUUGUGUUAAAGGUUCCACAUAAUCUUCUGUCCUGUUUCCAUCACGUUUAUGGUUCUGAAGGAUCUCUUGUUUGUGUUUUCAUCAUGUUUAAAGUUCUACUGGAUAUUCUUACUACUACUAGUAGACCAACAACUACCUACAAUGUCAUCUGUACCUACCUACACCUUUACAGGUAACUACUAACAGGCCUUCAGAUUUCUGCUUUAUUUAAGUUUAGUUGAGUUUAAUCAGCAGAGUUUAACAUUCAUAGAUUAUCAUUCACUCAUCAUCAGAGUCUAAAUGUAGUUUUAGCAUCAGUCAGUUGUAAUGAGCAGCUCAGUGUUCAAUCACAACAAACUCCAUGUUUGUGUUUCUGUAGAUUGAUUAGUUUCCUGCUGCUCUGUACUUUUACUCUAUUAAAGCUGUCUCUGCUCUCA
Amphiprion ocellaris (clown anemonefish) is the source of this 980-nucleotide long non-coding RNA. RefSeq lists it as uncharacterized. The transcript has 4 exons. The record is from RefSeq and is a predicted model, not a curated record. Lineage: Eukaryota; Metazoa; Chordata; Actinopteri; Pomacentridae.